GGUGGCAUGUCGCCUCUCGGAUCUCGGCGUGCCCGAUGGCCCCCUGCCUUGAGGAGCAGCCUUUUUGCUUUCUUUCUUUGGGAUAGGAUGCCUCUGGGGUUCUUUCUCCCGCAGUCGGCUCUGUUUUAGAGCACUUUGCUGCAAGGGACCACCACCUGCACGACCAGAAUAUGACCUGGUUUGCAUAGGCCUCACAGGCUCUGGCAAAACCAGUCUGUUGUCCAAACUCUGCAGUGAAAGCCCUGAUAACGUCGUGUCGACCACAGGUUUUAGUAUUAAAGCAGUGCCAUUCCAGAAUGCCAUCUUGAAUGUAAAAGAACUUGGAGGGGCUGAUAACAUCCGGAAAUACUGGAGCCGCUACUACCAAGGAUCUCAAGGGGUAAUAUUUGUAUUAGACAGUGCCUCUUCAGAGGAUGAUUUAGAAGCUGCUAGAAAUGAGCUGCACUCAGCUCUUCAGCAUCCACAGUUAUGCACUUUACCCUUUUUAAUAUUGGCCAAUCAUCAAGACAAGCCAGCAGCUCGCUCAGUACAAGAG
RNAcentral lists this small RNA (535 nucleotides) under Pan troglodytes (chimpanzee). RNAcentral's name for it is "processed transcript". Lineage: Eukaryota; Metazoa; Chordata; Mammalia; Primates; Hominidae. The record is from RNAcentral.